AUUGAACGCUGGCGGCAUGCCUUACACAUGCAAGUCGAACGGCAGCACGGGGGCAACCCUGGUGGCGAGUGGCGAACGGGUGAGUAAUACAUCGGAAUGUACCCAGUAGUGGGGGAUAACUAGUCGAAAGAUUAGCUAAUACCGCAUACGCACUAUGGUGGAAAGCGGGGGAUCGCAAGACCUCGCGCUAUUGGAGCAGCCGAUGUCCGAUUAGGUAGUUGGUGGGGUAAAAGCCUACCAAGCCUGCGAUCGGUAACUGGUCUGAGAGGACGACCAGUCACACUGGGACUGAGACACGGCCCAGACUCCUACGGGAGGCAGCAGUGGGGAAUUUUGGACAAUGGGGGAAACCCUGAUCCAGCAAUGCCGCGUGUGUGACGAAGGCCUUCGGGUUGUAAAGCACUUUUGGCGGGAACGAAACGGCGCUUUCUAAUACAGAGUGCUAAUGACGGUACCCGCAGAAUAAGCACCGGCUAACUACGUG
RNAcentral lists this ribosomal RNA (484 nucleotides) under uncultured bacterium. Its description in RNAcentral is "bacterial SSU rRNA". It matches the Rfam family "Bacterial small subunit ribosomal RNA", at positions 30 to 507 of the family's 1533-position model. The record is from RNAcentral.